RNAcentral lists this ribosomal RNA (508 nucleotides) under uncultured bacterium. Its description in RNAcentral is "bacterial SSU rRNA". It matches the Rfam family "Bacterial small subunit ribosomal RNA", at positions 29 to 524 of the family's 1533-position model. The record is from RNAcentral.
AGUGAACGCUGGCGGCAGGCCUAAUACAUGCAAGUCGAACGGCAGCACAGCAGAGCUUGCUCUGUGGGUGGCGAGUGGGCGGACGGGUGAGGAAUACAUGGGAAUCUGCCCAGUCGUGGGGGAUAACGUAGGGAAACUUACGCUAAUACCGCAUGCGCCCUUCGGGGGAAAGCCGGGGACCUUCGGGCCUGGCGCGAUUGGAUGAGCCCAUGUCGGAUUAGCUAGUUGGCGGGGUAAUGGCCCACCAAGGCGACGAUCCGUAGCUGGUCUGAGAGGAUGAUCAGCCACACUGGAACUGAGACACGGUCCAGACUCCUACGGGAGGCAGCGGUAGGGAAUAUUGGACAAUGGGCGCAAGCCUGAUCCAGCCAUGCCGCGUGAGUGAAGAAGGCCCUCGGGUUGUAAAGCUCUUUUGUCCGGAAAGAAAAGCGCCGGGUUAAUACCCUAGUGUCCUGACGGUACCGGAAGAAUAAGCACCGGCUAACUUCGUGCCAGCAGCCGCGGUAAU